GACUACUGAGCAAGGCCUUGGAAAAUCGGAGCGAUUAGAGCGGUUCAAACAAUACAGAAGUGUAUAAAGUAAGAAUUGAAAGUCUCUUCGCUGCUCUAAUCUCACUCCUCAGAGGUGAUCACUGUGUGGAAGAUGAUCAAAGUAUGACAUUUCUUCUACCCCAGAGGCUGGCAUUUCUGCAGGCACAAAUGAGCUUGGUUUUCAAGCACUGCUCUUUGAACACAAGGAAUUCCUUUAAUGAUCACGCCGGACUAUAUAGACUUUGGAAUCAGACUCUUUGAAUUCCAGCUCUGCCAUUUACCAACUUUGACACUUUGGACAACGUCUCAUUCUGUCACCCAGGCUGGAGUGCAGUGGCACAAUUAUAGCUCACUGCAGCCUCAAACACCUGGGCUCAAGCAAUCCUUCCACCUCUGCCUCCUGAGUAAUUGGGACUACAGGCAUGUGCCACCACACCCAGCUAA
RNAcentral lists this long non-coding RNA (464 nucleotides) under Homo sapiens (human). Its description in RNAcentral is "long non-coding RNA NONHSAT152257.1". Lineage: Eukaryota; Metazoa; Chordata; Mammalia; Primates; Hominidae. The record is from RNAcentral.